Molecule: ribosomal RNA, 1199 nt
Filed under: uncultured organism
Description: bacterial SSU rRNA
Rfam family: Bacterial small subunit ribosomal RNA
Source: RNAcentral
GAGUAAAGAUUUCGGUCGCUUUGGGAGGAGCUCGCUUACUAUCAGCUUGUUGGUAGGGUAAUGGCCUACCAAGGCUAUGACGGUUAGGGGGUGUGAGAGCAUGACCCCCAGCAUUGGCACUGAAACACUGGCCAAACACCUACGGGUGGCUGCAGUCGAGAAUCUUCCACAAUGGGGGAAACCCUGAUGGAGCGAUGCUGCGUGCGGGAUGAAGGCCUUCGGGUUGUAAACCGCUUUUGUAGGGGACGAAAUUUUUGACGGUACCCUUUCGAAUAAGAGGUUGCUAACUCUGUGCCAGCAGCAGCGGUAAUACAGAGACCUCAAGCGUUAUCCGGAUUUACUGGGCGUAAAACGUCUGUAGGGGGUUUAUUAAGUUCCAAGUAAAAUUUCAAGGCUCAACUUUGAAUUCGCUUGGAAAACUAAUAAACUGGAGUCUAGCAGAGGUGCAUGGAACUUGUGGUGUAGGAGUGAAAUCCGUUGAUAUCACAAGGAACACCAAAGGCGAAGGCAUUGCACUGGGCUAGCACUGACCCUGAGAGACGAAAGCGUGGGGAGCAAAACGGAUUAGAUACCCGUGUAGUCCACGCCCUAAACGAUGAAUGCUAAAUGUUCGGGGAUUCGACCCCCUGGGUGUUACAGCUAACGCGUUAAGCAUUCCGCCUGGGAAGUACGGCCGCAAGGCUAAAACUCAAAGGAAUAGACGGGGAUCCGCACAAGCGGUGGAGCGUCUGGUUUAAUUCGACAGUAAGCGUGGUACCUCACCAGGGUUUGACAUCCCUUGACAGCCUUGGAAACAAGGUUUCCUUCGGGCAAGGUGACAGGUGCUGCAUGGUCGUCGUCAGUUCGUGCCGUGAGGUGUUCCGUUAAGUCGGGAAACGAACGAAACCCCUAUUGCAUGUUACAAUUUCUCAUGCAAGACUGCCCGGAUAUACUGGGAGGAAGGUGGGGAUGACGUCAGAUCUGCAUGGUCCUUAUACCCUGGGCGACACAGGCGCUACAAUGGCAGAGACAAAGGGUUGCAAAACCGCAAGGUGAAGCUAAUCCCAAAAACUUUGUCUAAGUUCGGAUUGAAGGCUGCAAUUCGCCUUCAUGAAGCUGGAAUCGCUAGUAAUCGUGAAUCAGCCACGUCACGGUGAAUAUGUUCCCGGAUCUUGUACUCACCGCCCGUCACACCAAGAGAGUUGGUAGCUCCCGAAGCG